AUUGAACGCUGGCGGCAUGCCUUACACAUGCAAGUCGAACGGCAGCACGGGAGCAAUCCUGGUGGCGAGUGGCGAACGGGUGAGUAAUAUAUCGGAACGUGCCCAGUAGUGGGGGAUAGCCCGGCGAAAGCCGGAUUAAUACCGCAUACGACCUGAGGGUGAAAGCGGGGGAUCGCAAGACCUCGCGCUAUUGGAGCGGCCGAUAUCAGAUUAGCUAGUUGGUGGGGUAAAGGCCUACCAAGGCUACGAUCUGUAGUUGGUCUGAGAGGACGACCAGCCACACUGGGACUGAGACACGGCCCAGACUCCUACGGGAGGCAGCAGUGGGGAAUUUUGGACAAUGGGCGCAAGCCUGAUCCAGCCAUUCCGCGUGCAGGAUGAAGGCCUUCGGGUUGUAAACUGCUUUGUACGGUAACGAAACGGCGAGCUCUAAUACAGUUUGCUAAUGACGGUACCGUAAGAAUAAGCAACCGGCUAACUACGUGCCAGCAGCCGC
RNAcentral lists this ribosomal RNA (496 nucleotides) under uncultured bacterium. Its description in RNAcentral is "bacterial SSU rRNA". It matches the Rfam family "Bacterial small subunit ribosomal RNA", at positions 30 to 518 of the family's 1533-position model. The record is from RNAcentral.